RNAcentral lists this long non-coding RNA (311 nucleotides) under Homo sapiens (human). RNAcentral's name for it is "non-protein coding lnc-CRYBA4-10:1". The record is from RNAcentral. Lineage: Eukaryota; Metazoa; Chordata; Mammalia; Primates; Hominidae.
CAUGGGCCGUGUGUGUUUGCAAAAGGACGUGUGUGGCAGUGACAGCAGCGGGAGCCCCGGGGGAGGCCCCCCGGGGACACGUGUCCACCACCUGGGCUCCCGUGCCCGCUGAGCUCUGGGAGGCAGUGGCUGCUAAAAUACAGAUUCCUAGGCCCCAGACCAUCAUCCUGAAGCCAAAUUGCCAGAGUCAGGCCCAGGACUCUAGAGUUUCUUUGAGGGUCUCCCAGACACUUCUGGUGAGCAGCCAGGCUUGGAAACUCCUGUGCAGCCCACCCAGCCCCAGGAGAAAAAGGAGAGAGAUUUGGAUACAG